This is an RNA transcript of Octodon degus (degu), 2374 nucleotides long. It is a transcript of the gene named vacuolar protein sorting-associated protein 35 pseudogene, with no coding region annotated. Lineage: Eukaryota; Metazoa; Chordata; Mammalia; Rodentia; Octodontidae. The record is from RefSeq and is a predicted model, not a curated record. The transcript has a single exon.
AUGACUACAACACAGCAGUCACCUCAAGAUGAAUAGGAGAAAUUCUUGCAUGAAGCCAUACAGGCUGUAAAGGUUUAGUCAUUCCAGAUGAACAAAUGCUUGGAGAAAAACAAGCUUAUGGAUGCUCUGAAACAUGCAUCUAAUAUGCUUGGUGAACUCUGGGCUUUCAUGUUACCACCAAAGAGCUACCAUGAACUUUAUAUUGCUAUUUCUGAUGAACUGCACUAUUUGGACUUCUACUUGGCAGAUGAAUUUGCUAAAGGAAGGAAAAAGGCGGAUCUCUAUGAACUUGUAAAAUAUGCUGGAAACAUUAUCCCAAGGUUUUAUCUGUCAAUCACAGUUGGAGCUGUUUGUGUCAACUCAUUUCCUCAAUCCAGGAAAGAUAUUUUGAAAAAUUUGGUGGAAAUGCACCAUGGUGUGCAGCAUCCACAAAGGGUUUAUUUCUUCAAAAUUACCUUCUUCAGUGUACCAUGAAUAUUUUACCAAGGAGAGCCAACAGAUGAGGAAUGAGCUGGGGAUUCAGUGAUUCCGUGGAUUUUGUACUCUUUAACUUCGCAGAAAUGAACAAGUUUUGGGUGCAGAUGCAACAUCAAGGACAUAGCUGAGAUAAAGCAAAAAGAAUGGGAAUGACAAGAACUGAGAAUGUUAGUAGGAACAAAUUAUUGCCUCUCAGUCAAUUGGAAGGUGUGAAUGUGGAACACUACAGACAGAUUGCCUUAACUGACAUAUUGGAGCAGGCUGUGAAUUGUAGAGAUGCUUUGGCUCAGGAGUAUCUUGUGGAGUGUGUUAUUCAGGUUUUUCCUCAUGAAUUCCACCUCCAGACUUGGAAUCCUUUUCUUUGGACCUGUGCUGAGUUACACCAAACUGUAAACAUGAAAAAUAUAAUCAUUGCUUUAAUUGAUAGAUUAGCUUUAUUUGCACAUUGUGAAGCUGGACCUAGGAUCCAAGCAGAUAUUAAACAUUUUUAUAUAUUUUCACAGCAGGUGGCUACAUUAAUACAGUCUAGGCAAGGCAUGCCUUCAGAGGAUGCAGUAUCUUUACAGGUCUCUCUCAUUAAUCUCACUGUGGAAUGUUACCCUGAUCGGGUGGACUAUGUUGACCAAGUUCUAGAAACAACAGUGGAGAUAUUCAAUAAGCUCAACCUUGAACAUAUUGCUACCAGCAGUGCAGUUUCAAAGGAACACACCAGACUUUUGAAGAUACCUGUUGACAUGUACAAGAAUAUUUUGGCAGUCUUGAAAUUAAAACAUUUCCACCUGCUCUUUGAGAACUUUGACUACGAGCCCAGAAAGAGUAUGAGUUGUUAUCUGCUUAAUGUUCUGGAUUAUCAUACAGAAAUUGUCUCUCAAGGCCAGGUGGAUUCCAUAAUGAACUUUGUGUCUACGUUGAUUCAGGAUCAGCCAGACCAACCUGUAGAAGACCCUGAUCCAGAAGACUUUGCUGAUGAGCAGAGCCUUGUGGGCCAGUUCACUCAUCUUCUUCUAUCUGAGGACCCUGAUAAGCAGUACUUGAUCUUAAACAUAGCAUGGAAGAAUUUUGGAGCUAGUGAAAAUCAGCGGAUUUGCUUCACACUGCCACCCUGGUAUUUGCAGGCUUACUGGCUGGCUUUUCGAUACAAAGGGAAUUCUAAAGUGGAUGACAAAUGGGGGGAAAAUGCAGGAAGAUUAUUUUGUUUGCUCACCAGACUAUCAGUGCUUUGAUCAAAGCAGAGCUGGCAGAAUUACCCUUAAGAAUUCUUCUUCAGGGAGCCCUAACUGCUGGUGAGAUUGGCUUUGAAAAUAAUGAAACAGAAGCAUGAAUUUAUGUCCCAGGCACUUUCCCUGUAUGAAAAUGAAAUCAGUGAUUCCAAGCACAGCUGGCUGACAUCCUAUUGGUCACUGGCACUUUGGAGAGGAUGAAAUGCUUCAGUGAAGAGAAUCAUGAACCCUUGAGAACACAAUGUGUGCUUGCUGCAUCCAAAUUUCUGAAAAAGCCCAAUCAGGGCCAAGCAGUGAGCACCUGUGCGCAUCUCUACUGGUCCAGGAGAAACACAGACAAAAAUGGGGAGGGGUUUCAUGGGGAGAAGAGGGUGCUGGAGUGCCUAAAGAAAGCUCUCAAAACAGCAAAUCAGGGCACGGACUCCUCUCUACAAGUAUAGCUUUUUAUAGAAAUUCUGAACAGAUGAAUCUAUUUUUAUGAAAAGGAAAAUGAUGCGGUAACAAUUCAGGUGUUGAACCAGGUUAUCCAAAAGAUUCAAGAAAACCUCCCAAAUCUUGAGUCUGGUGAAGAAACAGAGCAGAUUAACAAACAUUUUUGUAACACGUUAGAGCAUUUGUGUUUGAGGCGGGAAUCACCAGAGUCUGAGGGGCCAACUUAUGAAGGUCUUAUCCUUUAA